This 1761-nucleotide long non-coding RNA is filed under the name Gallus gallus (chicken). Its description in RNAcentral is "lncRNA (ENSGALG00010029070.1)". Lineage: Eukaryota; Metazoa; Chordata; Aves; Galliformes; Phasianidae. The record is from RNAcentral.
CUCAAGGACCCCCUCAGACGCAGUACACCUCCCCCAUAGCUGGCCCAUAGCCACAUGGAGCCCCACAGUCCCCAGCAGCACCCCAUGUCCCCCACUGGGCUUCCACGGAAUCCUUCUAUUUCCUCCCUCAGACCUCCUUUACACCUCCAAGAUCCCCCCUGGGAACUCACUGAACCCCCAUGUUCCCUGACAGGACCCCCAUCACCAUCCCAGGACCCCCAUAGCCCACCUUUGGCCUCUCCUCCCCCCGACCUGCCUCCAGAUCCCGUACAACCUCACAGUGCUGUGGCAGGGCUGGCUUCUGCAGCUGACUUGGAUUUCUUCUGCCACUGUCCCGUGAAGGAGUUGAUUUGCUUCAGUCCAUCCCUGCUCCGUUCCUGGUUCAAGCCAAGCUCCAGUCCCUUCCCUGGUCUCAGUGAGAUCAGUUUGUUCUGUUCUCAUGCACUUACAGAAACAGAAGCUACCAACCCACCAAACCCUGGGACAGGUAUUUCCCUACAGAAGCAUUCAUGUUCUUCUUCUGGCCCCUUUGGCCAGUUCCCAGCUCUCCAAACUGAGGCGUACGGCUGCAGCCCUCCCCAUGGCUUCUUUGGGGCAGCUGUGGGGCAGCUCCACCCAGAGGAGGAGAUGCCUUUUCCCCACACGCAACUGGUUCUACAUCCACAUGAGGUGAGGACGUGGGGUCGUGUGUGACAUGGUGGUCCAGCAGUGUCAGAGUUACGGGGUGAUGUGGGGCUAUAGGCUCAGAUUGGGUGACAUGGAGUUCAUGGUCCCAUGGGGUUGUAUGGUCGGGGUGAGGUGGGGGCAGGGAUCCCAGAGUCAUGGGGACACAUGGCAUUGGAUCACAGUGUGAUGGGAGCAGGCAGAGUCAGGGAGUCACAGGGUCAUGUGGGGGUAUGGUUCCCCCAGGGCUGCGGGUCACGUGCAGCCAUGGGGUCACGCACAUACAGGGUGAUGAGGUCAUCUUGGGUUAUGGCUCAUGUGGGGUUACGGCUCAGGGCCCCACCUUUGGGCCACAGGGACGCCCAGUCUCCUCUCAAGAUGAAAUGAAACCACUCCAACACUUCCCCCCCCAACCUCUUUUUACCUCAAACUGCUCCCCACAUCCUCCCAUACUCUCUAUGUCCCCAUACUACCCCAUACCCCUGUGUCCCACCUGCAGCUCACGUCUUGUCUUCUCCUGAACAGCAUUCUGCUCCUGAAGGCUGUGUCCCCAUAUCCCCCAAUGUCCCUAUAUCCCCCCCACGGCCCCCACAGAGCCCCAUAGCUCCUCAAAAACCUUUUCCCAGUACACCUCCCCCCGGAAACCUGGGACCUCACAGAGCCCCACAGUCCCCAGCAGCAACCCACGUCCCCCUCUGAGCUCCCGCUGAACCCCCCUAUUUCCUUUCUCAGAUAUCCCUUACACCCUCAGCCCCCCCCCCUGCUUCUCGGACUCCCACAGUUUCUGAGAGGACCGCCAUCACCAUCCCAGGAUCCCCAUAUCCCACCGAUGAGGAACCCCACAUCAAUCCACAUCUCAGGAUGGGGCUUCAGCUGUGCCCCGAUGCAUUCAUUCAAGAGAGGAGAAUGAAUGAGCGUAAGGGGGCGCCUUUCCUCCUGACAUUACCCACCGCCUGCGUGUUGGCUGUGCCGUGCCAGCAGCAUUUUGUCCUCGAGCUGUGAGUGCAGAUGCGCGUGCAAGGGAGCAGCGGAGGCUCCUGGGAACAGGAGAUUGCUGGGAGCAGCAGAACUCCCGUGAGAGUGCUGGAGAGCACAGGG